Molecule: ribosomal RNA, 460 nt
Filed under: uncultured bacterium
Lineage: Bacteria
Description: partial 16S ribosomal RNA
Rfam family: Bacterial small subunit ribosomal RNA
Source: RNAcentral
CCUACGGGAGGCAGCAGUGAGGAAUAUUGGUCAAUGGACGCAAGUCUGAACCAGCCAAGCCGCGUGCAGGAAGACGGCCCUAUGAGUUGUAAACUGCUUUUAUACGAGAGUAAACGCAGAUACGCGUAUCUGUCUGAAUGUAUCUUACGAAUAAGGAUCGGCUAACUCCGUGCCAGCAGCCGCGGUAAUACGGAGGAUUCGAGCGUUAUCCGGAUUUAUUGGGUUUAAAGGGUGCGUAGGUGGGUUGAUAAGUUAGAGGUGAAAUCCUGAGGCUCAACCUCGGAAUUGCAUUUGAUACUGUUCGGCUAGAGUGUAGUUGCGGUAGGCGGAAUGUAUGGUGUAGCGGUGAAAUGCUUAGAGAUCAUACAGAACACCGAUUGCGAAGGCAGCUUACCAAGCUACUUCUGACGUUGAGGCACGAAAGCGUGGGGAGCAAACAGGAUUAGAUACCCUGGUAGUC